GCCGCAAAAACGUGUCCAUCCAGAGACAGACCCGCAACAGCGACGGGCUGGGGCCUGCAGAGGCACCGGUGGCCUCCGGCCUCAGUUUCUCCCACCGCCCGGCAGCCGAAGUCCCUGAGCACGCCCCGCCCCGCCCCGCCCCGCCCCGCGGCCCUCACCAUCUUCCUAUGGAGACACUUCCGCCGCUGCACAGCCGCUCGCGCUCCGGUCGGCGGCCCGCCGCGCGCCACCAGCUGAAAGGGACUGACAGAGACUCCGACCAAUCAGAGAGGGGCCCAAGGGGCACUCAUCCAAUUGGCGUGGAGUAGGGUGGUGCCUGCGGAGCGCGACGGCCGAGCACGCCGUAUUCCCACCGUGGGAUUGAGGGGGCGGCCGUAAAGUGCGUCGUUGGAGAGACGCAAAGAGCCGCGGCGCGCUUCAGGUGUACGCUGGGAAAUAGCGCCUGCGCAGACGUGAGCUGUGGGUCGGGUUGGGCGCCACAGCGUGGACGAAGCUGGUUAAUGCGUGUGCAGCGCGAGAGGCUGGGAAUCCAGCCUGCUUGCCCACCUUCGCGCUCCCGGCCUUCCAUCUAAGCCAAGCGGAGCCCUUGAGCGCCAACGGCAGGCCCAGCCGCUUCCCAGCCACAGGAAUGGGGAACACAGGGCCGGACUCUGGGCAGCCGAAGAUGAUCCUGAGGUCCCAGCACGGUCCGCUUGUAAUGAGCGUAGUAGAAGAAGCCUUUUAGACAUGUAGAAACAGCUUAGCAGGAGCCCCCGACACCAAGGCUGCACCCAGGGCCCAGAACCGCCGCGUGAGUCCUAGAGCCCACGAUGCCCGUGGGCAGCCUGUAAGCAGAGCCCGAGAGCGAUCGAUGCUCUGCACACCUAGAGAGAUGCCGCCUUGAUCUGCCCAGCAGCAUCUCCCCAAGAUCCUGACCCUGUUAGAGCCUGGACCUGACCUUCAGCAAAGACGUUGCACAGGUGGCCCCGGCUGAGGCGUGGGUGGGGGUUCCACAGAAGGGAAAGGAACACACCCCAAAGACUGGGAGCUGCAGUGAGUACAGCUGGAGAGUGAGGAAAACUGGUAAGUGUAAAUGAAAAAGCAGACACGUAAAAACUCUGUGAACAGUGUAAAAGGUAAGUAUGGGCCAAGGAACAGAUGUUUGUAUGUUUACUUAAAGUUAUCUUAAAGGCUAGAGAUACCAAAGUAGGACAUCAGCAACUGUGUAAAUUUUUAGUAUUUGUAGAGAUUUGUCCUUGGUUUCCUGAGCAGGGUACCUUGGAUGCAGAUGCUUGGAGACUUACUGGAGUUAAGAUACUGCAGUGUUGUGAUAAGCCUGGUCCAGAAAAACUUCCAGUGGAUGUUUUUAGUCUCUGGACACUUAUUCAUAACAGUUUAGAUCUUCAUCCUGGCAACCAGAAAAUGUUUCCUGAAUCAAGUAAAAUGGAAACCAGGCAUUCUGCUCUGUCAGAGGGACCACUUUAUGCAGAUGCUUUCAUAAAAUUAUCUGAUGAUAGUGGCCAGAGGAGCCUGGUAAUGAGGCAGAAUUAGAGGAAGAGGCUGCUGAGUAUUGUGACGGAGAUUCUCCCCACCUCCACUCCUGCCUGCGAAUGGUUCCUAGUGAGAGAUUAAGCGGGUUGUGACUGCAAACCCUUAACCCAGAGCCUCACUUUCAGAUCUGUUCAUGGCAAGCCGGUAAGUGUAAAUGUGAGCACUCUUUGUAUUGCUCUGUGCUCUGUUACUAUGUUACUGUCCUGUUCCACGUGGUUUAGGGGACCGGCUUCCCGGACUGAACUGGGAUAAGCAGGUAGCUCCUGCCGGGUGGUGGCUUGUAUACUGCCAGAGAAGCCAUUUGUUAGAUGGGACUGGCUAACCGCGGGUGAGGUCCUUGUCUCAGUGCUGAUGUACCCGUAUUUGGUUGUCCGUGUAAGAGUUACUUGUUUCUGUCUACUAACCUCCCUCAUUUUCCUCGAAGAGGCGGAGAGAAAGGCGUGGCAAGGCCACCUCCCACGGUCUUGCUCUGAGCCCACAGCAUGAGUGGAGCUGGUCUUGGCCAGCAGGGCGAAGCCCGCAGCCAGCCAGCAGCUCUUGGAGUGGGAGGGUGUACAUUCUCGGAGCAGGAAGGGCAGAGAUGGGAGCUACCGGUGAAGCGGCGGGGAGUUUACAGUCUACAACUGAUGAGCUGUUCUGAAAGCUGAACAGAGAGUCUGAGGUUAAUUGUUAGUUAUUAUAGUUAGAGGAGUUAAAAACUUCCCCCAGCAACACUGGCAGCCAAGGGCACACUCUGUGCCCACAUCCCCUCCCUCCCUUCCUAAGCCAAUUUCUACUUCCCUAUGAUAACUUCAAGGUCUCUCCUGGCCAGCAGCUUCCCUCCUUAACCCUUCUCUGUCCCGAUACUGCUUGAGGAAAAUGUUAAAUUACCAGCCUGCAUACACUGAAAAGCUUUGACUUUAGAACAAAAGUCAAGGAUACAUUAUGUCUGGGAGAAAUUAUGCUUUUGCUUCCACAGGAAAAGAAAAAUUACAUGGAUUUUUGGUCAUUUGAGUUCAAUGGGUUACAAAUACUUUUCAUCAUUUAAGAGAAUUUAUUGCAAAUUAUUAUUGGUUAAGAUAAAAAAAACUUGCUAAUCUCAAAUGCCUCACAUUGCUAGAGGUUUUUAUAUAUUAAUACAAACAAAUUUUUUCCUAUGAUAGAUACAAAUAUCUAUAUGUUUCUAUUCUUGUUUGAAAUGUUAUGUAAUGUUCUAAACUGCUGGGAAGAAACCACAAGAAGGACUUUGAUGGAAAUUUGCAUGUUGUCUGAAAAGCAAGAGAAGGCGAAAGACUGGACUAGCGGAAGGAAGAAAGGACGUGUACAUGUCUGGCUGAUGCAGAAGAGCAGACACAGAAAGGCCUGACGCGGAGGUAUAUGGGAAGUUGGAGAAGGCCAGAGGAGAUGUGAACUAUGCUGAAUUUUAAGGGAAAUUGAGAACCUUGGGACCAAGGACUGUCAGCUGGAAUUUGGUAAUCCAGAACUGCAUCUCCACAAAUUUAUGUUUGGAAACUUGCUGUGAUGGGAACAGUGGCAGGAAACUCCAGUCACUUGAAACCUGUUUGUCCUUUGAAAGGAACUGUGUUAGCGUGUGUUGAAAAGCCCUAUGUUCUUUUAGUUGGUGAUGCCAGCCAGAGGUACAUCGAGACAGAAAAUGAAAUGGCCUGUUCCUAGA
This is a long non-coding RNA of Onychomys torridus (southern grasshopper mouse), 3184 nucleotides long. RefSeq lists it as uncharacterized. The transcript is spliced from 3 exons. The record is from RefSeq and is a predicted model, not a curated record. Lineage: Eukaryota; Metazoa; Chordata; Mammalia; Rodentia; Cricetidae.